CUUUCCUUUCGUUUUAAGGCUGAAUAAUGUUCCAUUGUAUGUCUACGCCACAUUUUGCUUAUCCAUUCAUCCCUCAGUGGACACUUGGGCGGCUUCCACCUUUUAGCCAUUGUGAAUAGUGCUGCUUGGAACACGGAUGUGCAAACACCUGCUCAAGAGGCUGCUUCCAACUCUGGCGCACAUCCAGAAGUGGCAUUGCUGGACCAGAUGGUAUGCCGGCCUGCAGCGAGGGUCCACUCUAGGUGUCUCCACUCUGUGGCAAGUGGGGUAAAACAGAAGGGGCUUUUGUGGGGGGCGGUGCUUCAUUUCAGGGGCAGUAUUAGAAAGCUCCCUGUGGCUACAUAUUUAAGAUGUUCUUUUCUUCAGCCUUUUCCUAGCAAUAAAGUUGGUAUCUUGAUCCCCACCUAUCUGUCUUCUGAAUAUAUUUCUUAUGUGAGUUCUUUGUGAACUCAAGAAAGAAGGUAAAAACAUGAUCUGCUGGACCCCUAAACCUUAACCCAGACCACAAAAUCAAAAUCAGUAGGCAUUUAAUUUAAUACAAAAACCUCACAUUUCAUCUACGAGUUUACUGUUCUUAUAUAUUCUGCUGCUCCUAUAUGAUUAUAUUUCCUGCAGGAUGGCGGGAGUGAAUGUGCCUGAUGUGAUUUGGAGUGUAGUUUCCAAAAUUAAGAGGGCCAGAGCCCCACAAAGGCUUUAAAGAGGCUUUAAAGAGGUCAGGUAAGCCUGAGACCGGCCUACAGUCUCUGUUCCAGAUGGACGGCAGGUUUGUGACGGGAGCAGGCGGUGCGGGUGAGGGUGUCCAUGGAGUAAAAAGUUCUAAAAUAGUUUGCCUGUUGGAUUGCUGCAAACCACGCUGCAUUUGCCCCUAGAAAACAUUCUGGGUUUCAGCCACACGGUGUUGAGUCCGCUUAGUCUAAAGGGACAGAGAAGUGGUGUUAGUGUCAGUGGGCCGCCCCUCAGGGCUAAGAUCUAUGGCAUUUAUGCUGUUUUGUUUUGUUCAAUCCUUGUAUGCACGCCUCACUACAACCCUGUGGAUUGAGGAUGAUAUUAGCCUUGUUUUACAUCUGAGGACUCUGAGACUUACAGAGUCAAGUCGUUUGCCCGAGGUCACACAGCUAGCAGGUGCCGCCCCUGGGUUCUGACCCGCUCCCUGCGACUCCGCUCUUCGUACUGACUCCACGCUACAGUCGAACCGUUCAUGACCAUCUCCAUUCCUGAUACAUUUUCUGAGGAAACAAUCCAAGAGAAACAAAAAGUUACAUGCAUAAAAAUUUCCCUUAGAAUGUUUUAUGGAAUUGUGGCCAGAGGAGCAAAUGGAAGGGACACGAGAAGGGAGCUAUUUCAGUACGUUCUGGUCCAAUACGUUCUGUAGAAGCCCAGGCCUGCUCUACGAUGGGAACUCUGGACGUUACGCUGGACACGAAGCCCUGUAGAUGGCAAAGCUAAACGGACAAGGCAGAAGAGAACACGAUGUGUGCUCCACGACGGCAACAGCGUGACAAGGCACAUUUGCCCAUGUGUGCUCAAAACUGAAGGGAAAGAUGCAAAAACAGAAAUAACUUUUACUAACAAGCAGGAUCUGGGUGAACGUUUUUUUUUAACCAGUAGUGUUCUCAACGCUGCCAAGGCUCUACCUUGUCAAUAAAAGCUGUGCGAGGUGCUGAGGGCAUAGCCCACGGCGGGGAGGGGGCCCACAGGCCAGCUGGGGAGUCGGAGUGGCUCGGCCGCACUCCGCCUGCCGACAGUGGCCAGCGGACUCCCCUCCUGGCCAGUCCCGGGGCUCCUUCAGCUUGAAGCAGAUGCGAGGCCCUGCGCGCAGGUUCCUGUGAGCAUCGCACGGGGAAGGGGGACUUCCGCCCUGACUCCAGACAGCCUGAAUCCUGAAGAUCCAACAUGUUGGGGAAGUUUUCCCAAACUUGCCCAGAGUGCUGAUGACACCACCGAGACGAGACGCGGGCAGGACUGGGGUGGCGGUGAGCACGUAUACACCAUAAGCUUUUCUAGAGGAAACGAGAUGCAAAUGAGUAAAGGGCAGGAAGGAGAGAAACAAAUGCUGAAGUGUUGGGUGAUAGAUUUUCUCAGAUGGUUAAGACAAAAAAAGACAGUGCAAUUAGCCGGCUUCCUCAGUCCGCAGAGGCCCUCAUUACAGUGGAAUGAGCACGGGCUUUGGCAUGAGACCAGCUUCCCUCGCUGGCUCCACUGUUUCCCGGCUGUGUGACUGUGGGGCAAGCCACUUCUCCUCUCUGAUCCUGAGAUUCUUAGCUCAAGUGAUCAGAGAAGCCCGUCACGCUUUCCUGAGGGAAGGGAGAGGUGUGAAGCGGGGAUGUCCUGCGGGCGGCACCGCAGAGCCAUCCUUCUGCUCUGAGGAGAAAACCAUACGAUGAAAGAUCCUUUUCUUCCUGCCUACUUCCUUUCUUCAGCUUUGGACAUUGUCAUGUGAGGAUUUAAUGCCUGGAUCUGCAGCAGCUAUUUUGUGAGAUGAGGCAAAGAGCAUGAGAAUGGAAGCUGGUGUGCUAAGAGCGGUACAGAAGGACGAACAGAUUUUGUGUGACACUAUCAUUGAGCUACUGAACCAACCCUGGAACUACUUUUUUCUGUGCUUUUUGUUAAGGAAACAAUAAAGCCUUUCUCUUAAAAAAGGUAA
Non-coding RNA from Equus caballus (horse), 2644 nucleotides. The record is from RefSeq and is a predicted model, not a curated record. NCBI's taxonomy places the organism in Eukaryota, Metazoa, Chordata, Mammalia, Perissodactyla, Equidae.